This 21-nucleotide non-coding RNA is filed under the name Caenorhabditis elegans. Lineage: Eukaryota; Metazoa; Nematoda; Chromadorea; Rhabditida; Rhabditidae. The record is from RNAcentral.
UCGUAACUUACUAUUCAUUUU